Long non-coding RNA from Armigeres subalbatus, 260 nucleotides. RefSeq lists it as uncharacterized. The record is from RefSeq and is a predicted model, not a curated record. NCBI's taxonomy places the organism in Eukaryota, Metazoa, Arthropoda, Insecta, Diptera, Culicidae. The transcript has 2 exons.
GGACUAUGUAGCCAUUAUAGGAUGUGAACAAAUCUUCUGAGGAACAAAUUUUAUGACUCGAUGUUACCUGAUGUAUGUUAUGGCUAAGCAUAUCAAUAAGCAGGUAAUUUUCUUGAGGGGGAUAUAUAAGAGUGAAUACGACAGCAAUGAAGUGUCUUUGCUUCGGCAAGACAUAUACUAAAAUUGGAACGAUACAGAGAAGAUUAGCAUGGCCCCUGCGCAAGGAUGACACGCAAAAUCGUGAAGCGUUCCACAUUUUU